Molecule: ribosomal RNA, 591 nt
Filed under: Debaryomyces hansenii
Lineage: Eukaryota; Fungi; Ascomycota; Pichiomycetes; Serinales; Debaryomycetaceae
Description: LSU rRNA
Rfam family: Eukaryotic large subunit ribosomal RNA
Source: RNAcentral
CCCAAGGGGGCACUGCGUUAGUACGGCGAGUGAAGCGGCAAAAGCUCAAAUUUGAAAUCUGGCACCUUCGGUGUCCGAGUUGUAAUUUGAAGAAGGUAACUUUGGAGUUGGCUCUUGUCUAUGUUCCUUGGAACAGGACGUCACAGAGGGUGAGAAUCCCGUGCGAUGAGAUGCCCAAUUCUAUGUAAAGUGCUUUCGAAGAGUCGAGUUGUUUGGGAAUGCAGCUCUAAGUGGGUGGUAAAUUCCAUCUAAAGCUAAAUAUUGGCGAGAGACCGAUAGCGAACAAGUACAGUGAUGGAAAGAUGAAAAGAACUUUGAAAAGAGAGUGAAAAAGUACGUGAAAUUGUUGAAAGGGAAGGGCUUGAGAUCAGACUUGGUAUUUUGCGAUCCUUUCCUUCUUGGUUGGGUUCCUCGCAGCUUACUGGGCCAGCAUCGGUUUGGAUGGUAGGAUAAUGACUAAGGAAUGUGGCUCUACUUCGGUGGAGUGUUAUAGCCUUGGUUGAUACUGCCUGUCUAGACCGAGGACUGCGUCUUUUGACUAGGAUGUUGGCAUAAUGAUCUUAAGCCACCCGUCUUGAAACACGGACCAAA